RNAcentral lists this signal recognition particle RNA (299 nucleotides) under Cebus imitator (Panamanian white-faced capuchin). RNAcentral's name for it is "Metazoan signal recognition particle RNA (ENSCCAG00000000473.1)". It matches the Rfam family "Metazoan signal recognition particle RNA". From Rfam's summary of the family: The signal recognition particle (SRP) is a universally conserved ribonucleoprotein. It is involved in the co-translational targeting of proteins to membranes. The record is from RNAcentral. Lineage: Eukaryota; Metazoa; Chordata; Mammalia; Primates; Cebidae.
ACCAGGUGUGGUGGCACGUGCCUGUAGUCCCAGCUACUUGGGAGACUAAGUUGGGAGGAUUGCUUGAGCCCAGGAGUUCUGGACUGUAGUGUGCUGUGCUAAUCGGGUGUCCGCAGUAAGUUCGGCAUCAAUAUGGUGACCUCCCAGGAGCGGGGGACCACCAGGUUGCCUAAGGAGGGGUGAACCAGCCCAGAUCGGAAACGGAGCAGGUCAAAACUCCCGUGCUGAUCCGUAGUGGGAUUGUGCCUGUGAAUAGCCACUGAACUCCAGCCUGGGCAACAAAGCAAGAUCCCAUCUCU